Molecule: ribosomal RNA, 272 nt
Filed under: uncultured bacterium
Lineage: Bacteria
Description: partial 16S ribosomal RNA
Rfam family: Bacterial small subunit ribosomal RNA
Source: RNAcentral
UUCAUGUGACUGAGCGGCGGACGGGUGAGUAACGCGUGGGCAACCUGCCUUACACAGGGGGAUAACAGUUAGAAAUGACUGCUAAUACCGCAUAAGACCCCGGGACCGCAUGGUUCCGAGGUAAAAACUCCGGUGGUGUAAGAUGGGCCCGCGUCUGAUUAGGUAGUUGGCGGGGUAACGGCCCACCAAGCCGACGAUCAGUAGCCGACCUGAGAGGGUGACCGGCCACAUUGGGACUGAGACACGGCCCAGACUCCUACGGGAGGCAGCAG